CCUACGGGUGGCAGCAGUGAGGAAUAUUGGUCAAUGGCCGGAAGGCUGAACCAGCGAUGCCGCGUGAAGGUCAGUGCCCUAUGGGCGUUAAACUUCUGUUGUGCGGGAGCAAUAAUGGGCACGUGUGGCCAGACGAGAGUACCGUACGAGUAAGCAUCGGCUAACUCCGUGCCAGCAGCCGCGGGAAUACGGGGGAUGCAAGCGUUAUCCGGAUUUAUUGGGUUGAAAGGGUGCGUAGGCGGGGAGGUAAGUCAGCGGGGGAAGGCCCCCGCUCAACGGGGUGAAGUGCCAUUGAUACUGCCUUGCUGGAAUGCGGAUGACGUGGGAGGAAUGUGUGGUGUAGCGGUGAAAUGCAUAGAUAGCA
Molecule: ribosomal RNA, 364 nt
Filed under: uncultured bacterium
Lineage: Bacteria
Description: partial 16S ribosomal RNA
Rfam family: Bacterial small subunit ribosomal RNA
Source: RNAcentral